GUUUCCAUUGAUUAAGGCUCAAAGUUCUGCAAGCCAAGCAAGUAGCUGUAAAAAAAGUGGAAGCUGAUUGCAGCACAGGCACAGCACACCCAAUCACUGAGGUGCCUUGUUUAUUGUGCCUGCUCUUCCUUGAAUUCAUCUGCAAGUCUUAGGAUAAGCUUUUCAUUGGUUUGUUUUUAUUUUAUUUAUAUUUUGCACAUAACUUCAUCACCAUGUCAUGCCAUUAGCACCUCAACCUUUCAUACGAGAUCAAAUACAAGACAAAGAAACUCAGACUCUUCAUUUAUUUACUUAUUGUAUAAAUGGGUUAUACGGUUAUGCUAUUUCAUUUUUCUGAAAUUUUAUAAAAAUAUUUAUUAUGUCUUUCGUAUUCACUCCACAAAAACUUAAAAUAUAAUUACAAAAAUAAAAAUAUUAUUAAUCCUAAGUAUGGACUAAAACUUAUCCUGCUAUAUCAUGAUUGGAAUUUGGAGCUAAUGAAGAAAAUUUUGCCAACGAUUUCCUAAAUUUUAUGAUUGAGAUUUCUUGCAUUUCCU
Molecule: unclassified non-coding RNA, 536 nt
Filed under: Hevea brasiliensis (rubber tree)
Lineage: Eukaryota; Viridiplantae; Streptophyta; Magnoliopsida; Malpighiales; Euphorbiaceae
Source: RNAcentral